Molecule: ribosomal RNA, 1534 nt
Filed under: Lactiplantibacillus pentosus
Lineage: Bacteria; Bacillati; Bacillota; Bacilli; Lactobacillales; Lactobacillaceae
Description: Lactobacillus pentosus partial 16S ribosomal RNA
Rfam family: Bacterial small subunit ribosomal RNA
Source: RNAcentral
UAGGGUUUUUAUUUGGCUCAGGACGAACGCUGGCGGCGUGCCUAAUACAUGCAAGUCGAACGAACUCUGGUAUUGAUUGGUGCUUGCAUCAUGAUUUACAUUUGAGUGAGUGGCGAACUGGUGAGUAACACGUGGGAAACCUGCCCAGAAGCGGGGGAUAACACCUGGAAACAGAUGCUAAUACCGCAUAACAACUUGGACCGCAUGGUCCGAGCUUGAAAGAUGGCUUCGGCUAUCACUUUUGGAUGGUCCCGCGGCGUAUUAGCUAGAUGGUGGGGUAACGGCUCACCAUGGCAAUGAUACGUAGCCGACCUGAGAGGGUAAUCGGCCACAUUGGGACUGAGACACGGCCCAAACUCCUACGGGAGGCAGCAGUAGGGAAUCUUCCACAAUGGACGAAAGUCUGAUGGAGCAACGCCGCGUGAGUGAAGAAGGGUUUCGGCUCGUAAAACUCUGUUGUUAAAGAAGAACAUAUCUGAGAGUAACUGUUCAGGUAUUGACGGUAUUUAACCAGAAAGCCACGGCUAACUACGUGCCAGCAGCCGCGGUAAUACGUAGGUGGCAAGCGUUGUCCGGAUUUAUUGGGCGUAAAGCGAGCGCAGGCGGUUUUUUAAGUCUGAUGUGAAAGCCUUCGGCUCAACCGAAGAAGUGCAUCGGAAACUGGGAAACUUGAGUGCAGAAGAGGACAGUGGAACUCCAUGUGUAGCGGUGAAAUGCGUAGAUAUAUGGAAGAACACCAGUGGCGAAGGCGGCUGUCUGGUCUGUAACUGACGCUGAGGCUCGAAAGUAUGGGUAGCAAACAGGAUUAGAUACCCUGGUAGUCCAUACCGUAAACGAUGAAUGCUAAGUGUUGGAGGGUUUCCGCCCUUCAGUGCUGCAGCUAACGCAUUAAGCAUUCCGCCUGGGGAGUACGGCCGCAAGGCUGAAACUCAAAGGAAUUGACGGGGGCCCGCACAAGCGGUGGAGCAUGUGGUUUAAUUCGAAGCUACGCGAAGAACCUUACCAGGUCUUGACAUACUAUGCAAAUCUAAGAGAUUAGACGUUCCCUUCGGGGACAUGGAUACAGGUGGUGCAUGGUUGUCGUCAGCUCGUGUCGUGAGAUGUUGGGUUAAGUCCCGCAACGAGCGCAACCCUUAUUAUCAGUUGCCAGCAUUAAGUUGGGCACUCUGGUGAGACUGCCGGUGACAAACCGGAGGAAGGUGGGGAUGACGUCAAAUCAUCAUGCCCCUUAUGACCUGGGCUACACACGUGCUACAAUGGAUGGUACAACGAGUUGCGAACUCGCGAGAGUAAGCUAAUCUCUUAAAGCCAUUCUCAGUUCGGAUUGUAGGCUGCAACUCGCCUACAUGAAGUCGGAAUCGCUAGUAAUCGCGGAUCAGCAUGCCGCGGUGAAUACGUUCCCGGGCCUUGUACACACCGCCCGUCACACCAUGAGAGUUUGUAACACCCAAAGUCGGUGGGGUAACCUUUUAGGAACCAGCCGCCUAAGGUGGGACAGAUGAUUAGGGUGAAGUCGUAACAGGUAAAGCCGUAA